RNAcentral lists this ribosomal RNA (873 nucleotides) under Triticum aestivum (bread wheat). Its description in RNAcentral is "partial small subunit ribosomal RNA". The record is from RNAcentral. Lineage: Eukaryota; Viridiplantae; Streptophyta; Magnoliopsida; Poales; Poaceae.
AUGGGCCGGGCCCAUAGCAGUGAGCGGCAAACAAUAACUGGCCCCUCAGGCAGUUUUUGGGUUUGGUUCGCCCCUAGCAGCCCGCCCCGUCGCCGUUGUCCGUCCUCCAAGCUGCGCCGGGCCGAGCUCCCGGCGGCCGACCCCGACCCCGACCUGCGUCCCCGCCGCGCCACGACCCCCCACCACCGAGCUUCGGGCCGCGUCAGCGCCAAAUGCAGCGACUGCCGUGCCCGCUCGCCGGCUAGCACCACGACAACGCCACCGACCACGCCUGCGAGCUCUGCGUGCUCUUCUCAACUUCUCUCGGUGAUUUAUGCGAUGCAGCACGCUGCAGCGACGUCUUCUUCUCCUUUCUCCGCGGGCGCUCGCCAGUCCACGCUGCCACCCAUCAAUGUUGACAAGUCACCGUCUAAAAGGUUGUCCCAGAAGAUGACUGCAAUGAAGGCUGCCAAUAAAGAGCUGAAAGGGAUGAUGAAGACUGUCAGGAUUGAAGAUAUAGAUAGCAUGCAAGACGAGAUGAUGGAUCUUAUGGAUGUGAGCAAUGAAAUACAAGAAACUCUUGGUAGAAGCUACAGUGUCCCAGAUGACAUUGAUGAGGAGGAACUUAUUUGUAGUUGGCCAUUCUUAGAUGACUCUAACACUAGUCCCAUCAUACCUCUAACGAAACAAGGAGACAUAUCUUGUUUCGAGCUUAACUUACCUGCUGCACAAAGUGGUCAUGCAGCAGUCAUGGCAAAUAGUCAGCAGGGACAAGGAUUACAUACUCCUGGAUACAAUGCUCCAUCACAAGGACCAGAACUUCAUACUCCUUCCGUACAAUCCUCUCUCUGCGUGUUUACAUUCAUUUGUUCCUGUUUACGCAUCGACCCUUGA